This 109-nucleotide small RNA is filed under the name Yersinia pestis. RNAcentral's name for it is "RtT RNA". It matches the Rfam family "RtT RNA", at positions 22 to 130 of the family's 130-position model. From Rfam's summary of the family: This family represents a bacterial cis-regulatory element known as RtT RNA. The exact function of RtT is unknown although it is thought that it may be involved in changing the cellular response in relation to amino acid starvation. The record is from RNAcentral. Lineage: Bacteria; Pseudomonadati; Pseudomonadota; Gammaproteobacteria; Enterobacterales; Yersiniaceae.
CUUUUAAUCAAUUGGUCGCAGGUUCGAGCCGAGCAGAGCGAGACAACAACGCGCCAGCGUUGACCCGAAGGGCGAGUCCAGAGGACGAGUCAUCCCGCACGACCCACCA